CCUACGGGAGGCAGCAGUGGGGAAUCUUGCGCAAUGGGCGAAAGCCUGACGCAGCCAUGCCGCGUGAAUGAUGAAGGUCUUAGGAUUGUAAAAUUCUUUCACCGGGGACGAUAAUGACGGUACCCGGAGAAGAAGCCCCGGCUAACUUCGUGCCAGCAGCCGCGGUAAUACGAAGGGGGCUAGCGUUGCUCGGAAUUACUGGGCGUAAAGGGAGCGUAGGCGGAUAGUUUAGUCAGAGGUGAAAGCCCAGGGCUCAACCUUGGAAUUGCCCUUGAUACUGGCUAUCUUGAGUACGGAAGAGGUAUGUGGAACUCCGAGUGUAGAGGUGAAAUUCGUAGAUAUUCGGAAGAACACCAGUGGCGAAGGCGACAUACUGGUCCGUUACUGACGCUGAGGCUCGAAAGCGUGGGGAGCAAACAGGAUUAGAUACCCUGGUAGUCCACGCUGUAAACGAUGAGUGCUAGUUGUCGGCAUGCAUGCAUGUCGGUGACGCAGCUACGACAUAAGACACUCCGCCGUCGGGAGGUACGGUCGCGAGAAUUAAACUACAAUAGAAGUUAGACGGCGUGAGACGUGCCGAACGGACGACCGACGAGGGAGGAGG
This 604-nucleotide ribosomal RNA is filed under the name uncultured bacterium. RNAcentral's name for it is "bacterial SSU rRNA". The stretch from base 1 to 517 matches the Rfam family "Bacterial small subunit ribosomal RNA", at positions 338 to 873 of the family's 1533-position model. The record is from RNAcentral.